This 376-nucleotide ribosomal RNA is filed under the name uncultured bacterium. RNAcentral's name for it is "bacterial SSU rRNA". It matches the Rfam family "Bacterial small subunit ribosomal RNA", at positions 521 to 895 of the family's 1533-position model. The record is from RNAcentral.
UAAUACAGAGGGUGCAAGCGUUGUUCGGAAUUAUUGGGCGUAAAGCGCGUGUAGGCGGCUUUGCAAGUCGGGUGUGAAAGCCCUCAGCUCAACUGAGGAAGUGCGCCCGAAACUGCAGAGCUUGAGUGCCGGAGAGGGUGGCGGAAUUCCCCAAGUAGAGGUGAAAUUCGUAGAUAUGGGGAGGAACACCGGUGGCGAAGGCGGCCACCUGGACGGUAACUGACGCUGAGACGCGAAAGCGUGGGGAGCAAACAGGAUUAGAUACCCUGGUAGUCCACGCCGUAAACGAUGAGAACUAGGUGUCGUGGGUGUUGACCCCCGCGGUGCCGUAGCUAACGCAUUAAGUUCUCCGCCUGGGAAGUACGGUCGCAAGACU